This 440-nucleotide ribosomal RNA is filed under the name uncultured bacterium. RNAcentral describes it as "partial 16S ribosomal RNA". It matches the Rfam family "Bacterial small subunit ribosomal RNA", at positions 338 to 795 of the family's 1533-position model. The record is from RNAcentral.
CCUACGGGUGGCAGCAGUGGGGAAUAUUGCACAAUGGGGGAAACCCUGAUGCAGCGACGCCGCGUGAAGGAAGAAGUAUUUCGGUAUGUAAACUUCUAUCAGCAGGGAAGAAAAUGACGGUACCUGACUAAGAAGCCCCGGCUAACUACGUGCCAGCAGCCGCGGGAAUACGUAGGGGGCAAGCGUUAUCCGGAUUUACUGGGUGUAAAGGGAGCGUAGGCGGGUUAGCAAGUCAGAAGUGAAAGCUCGGGGCUCAACUCCGGGACUGCUUUUGGAACUGCGCGGCUGGAGUGCAGGAGGGGCAGGCGGAAUUCCUGGUGUAGCGGUGAAAUGCGUAGAUAUCAGGCGGAACACCGGUGGCGAAGGCAGCCUGCUGGACUGCAACUGACGUUGAGGCACGAAAGCGUGGGGAGCAAACAGGAUUAGAUACCCGUGUAGUC